CCAAGACAGGCGGUACUAAAUGUUUAAAACCAGUGUUAACUUAUUUUCUCUCUCAUAUAGUACAAUGUAGGACACUAGGGAGUGUCAUGGCUGUCUUUCUGUGGGCGCGGUGAUCCAAUUAACACUCUGUGGCUCAAAGAUUGCUGUUUAUUCCAUCCAACUCCUCAGACUUGCACACCUACUCUCCAUCAACUCAUCAACUCAACAGUAUAUAUACCCUGGCUCUCAAUCCACUCGCCAGAUCGUUCUUUCAGCUACGGUUCACCACCUGCCUUCUUGGAUUCAAAGCCUCUCAAUCAACUAGGCUCACAUCGCAACUCUGCUCUGAUCAGCCGUCUCCCUUUCACUCUGCAGACCUUGUGAAUCAUCGUCUCAUCUCCCUUCCUCUGCAAUAAACCUCAUUACAAGUCAA
Labrus bergylta (ballan wrasse) is the source of this 412-nucleotide non-coding RNA. NCBI's taxonomy places the organism in Eukaryota, Metazoa, Chordata, Actinopteri, Labriformes, Labridae. The record is from RefSeq and is a predicted model, not a curated record.